AUAGGCUCCUCCUGUUAGCUCCUCUGUUUACAGGCUAAAGGCAGAAGCUACAGCGAACCAAACUGCUAAGGACUUCAGUAUAGGAGCACCAGGCUACUAUUACCUUCAGUCAAUAUUCUAGUGCCUUAAGUAAAAUAAACUUCUAGCGUCUGAGUACGCAGAGAGCUGGGUUUUCAGAGUGUCAAUAAGAAGGGGAAGAUAAAAAUUAGCCACAGGGAUAACUGGCCAUUGUGCUGACCCAGCCUGCUGGAGUGUCCUGGAGAGUGAGCGAGUGCCCGUGGCAGCUGUACAGUAAGCAGAACAAGAGAUGAGAGAACCAAAGAAAGGAGCUUGUGUAUGUGAGAACGUGUGAGCACACGUGGAUGCCCUUCUCUCUAGGUAUGGAUUUUUAUUUUUUAUGUGCAUUGGUGUUUUGCUUGCAUGUACGUCCAUGUGAGGGUGUCAGAUCCCCUGGAAUUGGAAUUACAGACAGUUACAAGGGCACAGACCCAGUGCCAUGUCUGGGCUGGGAAUUGAGCCCAGGUUCUCUGGAAGAGCUCUUCACCUCUGAGCCAUCUCCCCGACCCCACUUCUACUUUUUUGAGACAGGCUCUCCCAUUGAACCUGGAGCUCACAGAGUUGGCUACACUACUGGCCAGCGAGCUCAAAGGAUCCUCCUGUCUCCGCUUCCCAAUGGAUUAUAGGCAAACACCACUAUACACUAUUUUUUGCCUGGGUGUUGUGGAGCCAAACUCAGGCCCUCACACUUGUGAUCAUCUUCCUGGGGGCUUCUUUACACGUUAUAUUCCUGUCUCCGGUCAGACUAUUCCUUGUUCCUUCUGGAUUUCUUGUGGAGGGACUAGGCUGAUAGUGGUGGAGUGUUCUGGAAAGAUGUGUCUGUAUAAGUAUGAGGAAAAGAAUACAAUGGUGGGCUUCAGGAUGAACACACCAGCCAUUACUUAGAUUUGGCUGCCUCUGGGUUCCCAGAACACAAACCCUUUAGGUUACCAGUGAGGCCAGUGUACUCUCCAGAACAAAAUUCUUGCCUUUUGGGGCACUGAUUUCCACAUCUAUGAAGGUCACUGCACUGGACUUCCAGCAACAGGCUGAAGUAAUACUUUUAAGCCCAACGUUGGGCGCACUUUGAAUAAUGACGUCCUCAGUAACUCUUGGGGGAUUGUUUUGCUGUGAACUCUAGUUUUUAUAGGGGAAGUAAACGGGAUGGGGCUGGUGUAGGAUGUGGUCAGCCCAUCAAAGCGAGGCUCACCGGAAGGUGGAGGGGUGCUAUUUAUUAUUCUCUGUAGGCACCUGGGUCUUUAAUGCUUGACCUAAGACUAAACAUGAGUUCCUCUGGGAAGUUAGAAUUUCUAAUCACAACCGAGUUGAAAACAAAGUAGAAGCUAUCACUGUGGAAUGCCCCUCUGCCAAAAAAACAAAAAACCCAAAAAAGGUGGAGGGGCUUUACCUGUCGUCAUUUCCCUUCUGGAUUCAGUGUAUUCCACAAUUCCACAUCUGUCUUGCCUUACGGCUCCCGUUGAACAAAUGAAGGUUGAGCUGCUCCCAUGAAUACCCACGGCUGAGUCUAUGGAGUCCUAAUUUGGUUUUCUGCUGCUGUGAUAAGCACUAACCAAAAGCAGCCUAGGUCUUCUCUGGUUUACUUCGGCUUAUACUUUCCAGCCACUUUCCAUCACUGAGGGAAGCCAAGGCAGGACCUCGAGGCCCAAACCUGGAGGUGGAAAUGGAAGCAGAGUCCAAGGGCUGACCAUUCAAGCUACAUUUCUUAUACUGCUCACUCCCACCUGCUCAGGGGUGGCAACAUCCACAGUGGGCAGGGCCCUUCUACAACCAAGAAAAUGUCCCAUAGACACCCCCAUAGGCCAAUCUACCAGAGCCUCAGUUGAGGCUCCCAAUUUCCAUGUGUGCCACCUUGACAACCAAGCAGUGUUCAAAAUUCUGUUUCUUGCACUUAGUAGCUGGCCCAUGUGCAGAGGACCGAGACCCAGAAUCAUGUUUUCAAAGGCUGGUCCUCUGCUUAAAAAUAAAAUCUAAAUGUAUAUCAGAGAAUCAACCACCCCCUGUAUUCUUGUGCUGAGACAUUUGUCUCACCAAGAAAUGAGUUUUCUUUUAUGUGUGGUGGUAGCCAUGGUAGCAGCACUAGUGACUUUUAUUUCUUGUGUGUGUAUGUGUUUAUGUAGGCACAGGUGUGACAAGGAUAGGUAUGUGUGGAGGCCAGGAGCCAAUGUCAGCUGUCAUUCCAAAGACACUGUCCAAUUUGUUUUCUGAGACAGGAUUGUUUAUUGGCUGGUACUUGCCAAGGAGGCUAGGCUGGCUGAUUGGCCAGGGAUCUGCCAGUCUUCACCACUACACCCAGUUUUUUGUUUAUUUAUUUUUAUUAUGUAGGAGUGUUUUGUCUGCAUGUAUGUCUGUGCACCACUUGUAUGCCUGGUGCCCACAGAGGCCAAGAAGACGGCACUGGUUCUCAUAGAACUGGAGUUAUAGAUGGUGUGGAUGCUGAAAGUCAAGAGUCCUCUGGAAGAACAGAGAGGCAUCUUUCCAGCUACUCCUUCCCUCAUCUUUACUGUGGGUUCUGGGGACAGUCCUCGAGCACUGUCCUAUCUCCUGUAGCCCAGGAAUUCUAUUUAAGAAGAGUCACCUUGACAUUUCCAUAAGGGCUCAAUUCAGGCGCAAGGCUGGGAACAGACAAAGGACUGUCUGUUGGUGGCACUGACUCAUUAUGUCACAUUGCUCACUUAGUCCUGAGGAAAUUCAGAACAUAGGAAGAGGUGAAACCACUUCCUUAAAGGAUGAAGCCAUGUAAUGGUCACAAUAACCAGGCCUCACUGUGAGCUGAGGGGCAGGAGGAGCCAGCCCAUCUGCAGAGCAGAAGUCAGCCGCCCAAGUGGCCUUGAAUGAGUACCAAGCCAAAGGGGAGGCAGUCAGAUCCCUGUCUCAGCACCCGUGUACAGAGAUCAGCCUUGGCAGGCUCUGAUAAGGCCCUGACUUGACUUUGUUCUCCUAGGCUUGGCAGCAGACAGAAAGUGAACUCUCAGGCAGCAAGAACCAGCCUUAUCCUUUGGGUCAGUGCCCAUCUGUCAGACACUUGACAAAGUUGUGUUCAUACUGGGAAAUGCUCAAUAUAGCUCCACUCAUUUUGUGACACACAAACUUUAUGUCACCUGUUGGAGGACUGUAGCUCUGAAAACUCUCAAUGCCAGAUGUUAGCAGAAGGGGACACUUCUUAUGCUGCCUGGCAUCUCUUAUUUUUUUUCAAACUUGUCUAUAAUUCUGCAAGGGAUGGCUCCCCAUAUCUACCAGUGGUUUUUUUUUUUUUUUUUUUUUGGCUAGAGAAUUCACAUUUUUUCCUCUGUAGAUGUGACUGUAGAAAAGUGCAUAUAUAUAUACACAC
This is a long non-coding RNA of Mus musculus (house mouse), 3385 nucleotides long. RefSeq annotates it as predicted gene, 30639. The record is from RefSeq and is a predicted model, not a curated record. NCBI's taxonomy places the organism in Eukaryota, Metazoa, Chordata, Mammalia, Rodentia, Muridae. The transcript has 3 exons.